AGAGCGAACGCUGGCGGCAGGCCUAACACAUGCAAGUCGAGCGCCCCGCAAGGGGAGCGGCAGACGGGAGAGUAACACGUGGGAACGUACCCUUUGGUUCGGAACAACACAGGGAAACUUGUGCUAAUACCGGAUAAGCCCUUACGGGGAAAGAUUUAUGCCAAAGGAUCGGCCCGCGUCUGAUUAGCUUGUUGGUGAGGUAACGGCUCACCAAGGCUACGAUCAGUAGCUGGUCUGAGAGGAUGAUCAGCCUCACUGGGACUGAGACACGGCCCAGACUCCUACGGGAGACAGCAGUGGGGAAUAUUGGACAAUGGGGGCAACCCUGAUCCAGCGACGCCGCGUGUGUGAAGAAGGCCUGCGGGUUGUAAAGCACUUUUAGUGGGAUGAAAAGCUCAGGGUUAACACCUCUGGGUCUUGGACCUAACCCACAGAAAAAGCACCGGCUAACUCUGUGCCAGCAGCCGC
Molecule: ribosomal RNA, 468 nt
Filed under: uncultured bacterium
Lineage: Bacteria
Description: SSU rRNA
Rfam family: Bacterial small subunit ribosomal RNA
Source: RNAcentral